RNAcentral lists this ribosomal RNA (301 nucleotides) under uncultured bacterium. RNAcentral describes it as "partial 16S ribosomal RNA". It matches the Rfam family "Bacterial small subunit ribosomal RNA", at positions 509 to 807 of the family's 1533-position model. The record is from RNAcentral.
CAGCAGCCACGGGAAUACGUAGGGUGCAAGCGUUAAUCGGAAUUACUGGGCGUAAAGCGUACGCAGGUGGUCCGCUAAGACAGAUGUGAAAUCCUCGGGCUUAACCUGGGAACUGCAUUUGUGACUGGCGGGCUAGAGUAUGGCAGAGGGGGGUAGAAUUCCACGUGUAGCAGUGAAAUGCGUAGAGAUGUGGAGGAACACCGAUGGCGAAGGCAGCCCCCUGGGCCUGUACUGACGCUCAUGCACGAAAGCGUGGGGAGCAAACAGGAUUAGAUACCCCAGUAGUCCCUGUCUCUUAUAC